GGACGAACGCUGGCGGCGUGCUUAACACAUGCAAGUCGAACGGAAAGGCUCCAGCUUGCUGGAGUGCUCGAGUGGCGAACGGGUGAGUAACACGUGGGCAAUCUGCCCUGCACUCUGGGAUAAGCCUGGGAAACUGGGUCUAAUACCGGAUAGGACCUUUCUCCUCAUGGGGUUUGGUGGAAAGUUUUUCGGUGCAGGAUGAGCCCGCGGCCUAUCAGCUUGUUGGUGGGGUAAUGGCCUACCAAGGCGACGACGGGUAGCCGGCCUGAGAGGGUGAUCGGCCACAUUGGGACUGAGAUACGGCCCAGACUCCUACGGGAGGCAGCAGUGGGGAAUAUUGCACAAUGGGCGAAAGCCUGAUGCAGCGACGCCGCGUGAGGGAUGACGGCCUUCGGGUUGUAAACCUCUUUCAGUAGGGACGAAGCGCAAGUGACGGUACCUGCAGAAGAAGCACCGGCUAACUACGUG
Molecule: ribosomal RNA, 468 nt
Filed under: uncultured bacterium
Lineage: Bacteria
Description: partial 16S ribosomal RNA
Rfam family: Bacterial small subunit ribosomal RNA
Source: RNAcentral